GCCUUCUUAGCUCAUUAGGUAGAGCAGUAUCCUUGUAAGAUACAGGUGCAGAGUUCGAAUCUCUGAGAAGGCU
RNAcentral lists this transfer RNA (73 nucleotides) under Lachnospiraceae bacterium. RNAcentral describes it as "tRNA-Thr". It matches the Rfam family "tRNA". Rfam says of the family: Transfer RNA (tRNA) molecules are approximately 80 nucleotides in length. Their secondary structure includes four short double-helical elements and three loops (D, anti-codon, and T loops). Further hydrogen bonds mediate the characteristic L-shaped molecular structure. tRNAs have two regions of fundamental functional importance: the anti-codon, which is responsible for specific mRNA codon recognition, and the 3' end, to which the tRNAs corresponding amino acid is attached (by aminoacyl-tRNA synthetases). tRNAs cope with the degeneracy of the genetic code in two manners: having more than one tRNA (with a specific anti-codon) for a particular amino acid; and 'wobble' base-pairing, i.e. permitting non-standard base-pairing at the 3rd anti-codon position. The record is from RNAcentral. Lineage: Bacteria; Bacillati; Bacillota; Clostridia; Lachnospirales; Lachnospiraceae.